RNAcentral lists this ribosomal RNA (656 nucleotides) under Rhodosporidiobolus fuzhouensis. RNAcentral describes it as "partial large subunit ribosomal RNA". It matches the Rfam family "Eukaryotic large subunit ribosomal RNA", at positions 1 to 648 of the family's 3401-position model. Lineage: Eukaryota; Fungi; Basidiomycota; Microbotryomycetes; Sporidiobolales; Sporidiobolaceae. The record is from RNAcentral.
UUAUUUAGAUCUCAAAUCAGUCAGGAUUACCCGCUGAACUUAAGCAUAUCAAUAAGCGGAGGAAAAGAAACUAACAAGGAUUCCCCUAGUAGCGGCGAGCGAAGCGGGAAGAGCUCAAAUUUGUAAUCUGGCGCUUUCAGCGUCCGAGUUGUAAUCUCUAGAAAUGUUUUCCGCGUUGGACCGCACACAAGUCUGUUGGAAUACAGCGGCACAGUGGUGAGACCCCCGUUCAUGGUGCGGAUGCCCAAUGCUUUGUGAUACAUUUUCGAAGAGUCGAGUUGUUUGGGAAUGCAGCUCAAAUUGGGUGGUAAAUUCCAUCUAAAGCUAAAUAUUGGCGAGAGACCGAUAGCGAACAAGUACCGUGAGGGAAAGAUGAAAAGCACUUUGGAAAGAGAGUUAACAGUACGUGAAAUUGUUGGAAGGGAAACGCUUGAAGUCAGACUUGCUAUUCGGAGUUCAGCCGCAAGGUGUACUCUCCGAGUUGCAGGCCAGCAUCAGUUUUCUGGGGUGGAAAAUCACGGUUUGAAGGUAGCAGUUUCGGCUGUGUUAUAGCUUUCCGUUGGAUACAUCCUGGGGGACUGAGGAACGCAGUGUGCUUUUAGCGGGGGUUUCGACCUCUUCACACUUAGGAUGCUGGUGGAAUGGCUUUAAACGAC